Molecule: ribosomal RNA, 275 nt
Filed under: uncultured bacterium
Lineage: Bacteria
Description: partial 16S ribosomal RNA
Rfam family: Bacterial small subunit ribosomal RNA
Source: RNAcentral
GCGUGAGUGAAGAAGGCCCUAGGGUUGUAAAGCUCUUUCAGCGGGGACGAUGAUGACGGUACCCGCAGAAGAAGCCCCGGCUAACUUCGUGCCAGCAGCCGCGGUAAUACGAAGGGGGCUAGCGUUGUUCGGAAUUACUGGGCGUAAAGCGCGCGCAGGCGGUGCGUUUAGUCAGAGGUGAAAUCCCGGGGCUCAACCUCGGAAUUGCCUUUGAUACUAGCGUGCUAGAGUCCGUGAGAGGGUAGCGGAAUUCCCAGUGUAGAGGUGAAAUUCGU